RNAcentral lists this small nuclear RNA (108 nucleotides) under Procavia capensis (Cape rock hyrax). The record is from RNAcentral. Lineage: Eukaryota; Metazoa; Chordata; Mammalia; Hyracoidea; Procaviidae.
GUGCUCACUUGGACAGCACAUAUACUAAAACUGGAACACUAGAGAGAAGAUUAGCAUGACCCCCUAGGCAAAGAUGACAUGCAAAUUUGUGAAGUAGUUCAUAUUUUU